CUAACGGGAGGCAGCAGUGGGGAAUAUUGGACAAUGGGCGAAAGCCUGAUCCAGCCAUGCCGCGUGUGUGAAGAAGGCCUUCGGGUUGUAAAGCACUUUCAGUGGGGAAGAAAGCCUUGGGGCUAAUACCCUCGAGGAAGGACAUCACCCACAGAAGAAGCACCGGCUAACUCCGUGCCAGCAGCCGCGGUAAUACGGAGGGUGCGAGCGUUAAUCGGAAUUACUGGGCGUAAAGCGCGCGUAGGCGGUCUGAUAAGCCGGUUGUGAAAGCCCCGGGCUCAACCUGGGAACGGCAUCCGGAACUGUCAGGCUAGAGUGCAGGAGAGGAAGGUAGAAUUCCCGGUGUAGCGGUGAAAUGCGUAGAGAUCGGGAGGAAUACCAGUGGCGAAGGCGGCCUUCUGGACUGACACUGACGCUGAGGUGCGAAAGCGUGGGUAGCAAACAGGAUUAGAUACCCCGGUAGUC
This 465-nucleotide ribosomal RNA is filed under the name Vreelandella stevensii. Its description in RNAcentral is "partial 16S ribosomal RNA". It matches the Rfam family "Bacterial small subunit ribosomal RNA", at positions 338 to 795 of the family's 1533-position model. The record is from RNAcentral. Lineage: Bacteria; Pseudomonadati; Pseudomonadota; Gammaproteobacteria; Oceanospirillales; Halomonadaceae.